GCCUGGGUGGCUCAGUUGGUUAAGCGUCUGACUUCAGCUCAGGUCAUACUCUCGCAGUCCGUGGGUUCGAGCCCCAUGUCAGGCU
This 85-nucleotide transfer RNA is filed under the name Felis catus (domestic cat). It matches the Rfam family "tRNA". From Rfam's summary of the family: Transfer RNA (tRNA) molecules are approximately 80 nucleotides in length. Their secondary structure includes four short double-helical elements and three loops (D, anti-codon, and T loops). Lineage: Eukaryota; Metazoa; Chordata; Mammalia; Carnivora; Felidae. The record is from Rfam by way of RNAcentral.